AACUGCGAGUGAAGCGGGAAAAGCUCAAAUUUAAAAUCUGGNGGUCUUUGGCCGUCCGAGUUGUAGUCUGGAGAAGUGCUUUCCGCGCUGGACCGUGUACAAGUCUCUUGGAACAGAGCGUCAUAGAGGGUGAGAAUCCCGUCUUUGACACGGACUACCAGUGCUUUGUGAUGCGCUCUCAAAGAGUCGAGUUGUUUGGGAAUGCAGCUCAAAAUGGGUGGUGAAUUCCAUCUAAAGCUAAAUAUUGGCGAGAGACCGAUAGCGAACAAGUACCGUGAGGGAAAGAUGAAAAGCACUUUGGAAAGAGAGUUAAACAGUACGUGAAAUUGCUGAAAGGGAAACGNUUGAAGUCAGUCACGUUGGCCAGAACUCAGCCUUGCUUUUUUGCUUGGUGCACUUUCUGGUUUGACGGGUCAGCAUCAGUUUUGAUCGUCGGAAAAAGGCUGGAGGAAUGUGGCACCUUCGGGUGUGUUAUAGCCUCCAGUCACAUACGACGGUUGGGACUGAGGAUCUCAGCACGCCUUUAUGGCCGGGGUUCGCCCACGUUCGUGCUUAGGAUGCUGGCAUAAUGGCUUUAAGCGACCCGUCUUGAAACACGGACCAAGGAGUCUAACAUACCUGCGAGUGUUUGGGUGGAAAACCCGAGCGCGUAAUGAAAGUGAAAGUUGAGAUCCCUGUCGUGGGGAGCAUCGACGCCCGGACCUGACGUUCUCUGACGGCUCCGCGGUAGAGCAUGUAUGCUGGGACCCGAAAGAUGGUGAACUAUGCCUGAAUAGGGUGAAGCCAGAGGAAAC
This 794-nucleotide ribosomal RNA is filed under the name Resinoporia pinea. Its description in RNAcentral is "eukaryotic LSU rRNA". It matches the Rfam family "Eukaryotic large subunit ribosomal RNA", at positions 85 to 862 of the family's 3401-position model. The record is from RNAcentral. Lineage: Eukaryota; Fungi; Basidiomycota; Agaricomycetes; Polyporales; Adustoporiaceae.